This 513-nucleotide ribosomal RNA is filed under the name uncultured bacterium. RNAcentral describes it as "partial 16S ribosomal RNA". It matches the Rfam family "Bacterial small subunit ribosomal RNA", at positions 28 to 523 of the family's 1533-position model. The record is from RNAcentral.
GACGAACGCUGGCGGCGUGCCUAAUACAUGCAAGUCGAGCGGACUAAUGGGAGCUUGCUCCCGUUAGUUAGCGGCGGACGGGUGAGUAACACGUGGGCAACCUACCUGUAAGACUGGGAUAACUUCGGGAAACCGGAGCUAAUACCGGAUGACAUAAAGGAACUCCUGUUCCUUUAUUGAAAGAUGGCUUCGGCUAUCACUUACAGAUGGGCCCGCGGCGCAUUAGCUAGUUGGUGAGGUAACGGCUCACCAAGGCGACGAUGCGUAGCCGACCUUGGAUGGUGAACGGCCACCCUGGGACUGAGACACGGCUCACGCUCCUACGGGAGGCAGCAGUAGUGAUUCUUCCGCAAUGGCCGUAAGUCUGACGGAGCAACGCCGCGUGAGCGAUGGAGGCCUUCGGGUCGUACAGCUCUGUUGUUAGGGAAGAAUAAGGGCUAGUUGAAUCAGCUGGCACCUUGACGGUACCUAACCAGAAAGCCACGGCUAACUACGUGCCAGACGCCGCUGUAA